Molecule: unclassified non-coding RNA, 381 nt
Filed under: Hevea brasiliensis (rubber tree)
Lineage: Eukaryota; Viridiplantae; Streptophyta; Magnoliopsida; Malpighiales; Euphorbiaceae
Source: RNAcentral
GGGAAGAUGAGAGAAUUGCAGCGUGGUGACCAUAGCCUAAGAGAAACUAAAAAAAUUUCGAAAGAUAAGUAGCUCACCUCUAUCUCCUAAGGGAAAAGGAUGUUGUGGAGGAAUCUUUAGGGGAGUUAGAGGCUAACUCAUAUUACUGAAGUUUAGGGGAGUUAGAGGCCAACUCAUAUUACUGAAGUAAAUGUUCUUAAUUGCUUGCAAAAGGAAAGAAAAUGGUAAGCAACAAAGGUGAAAAAGCCUAGGAAACCUACUGAGGAACCUAUUGGGGAGUUGAUUAAGGAACUAGUAGGGGAGCUAACCAAAGGUGCAUAAUGAAUCUUAAGGUACAUUCCCAGUGGUUUAUCUAAAAAUUCUUUAAUUGGCUUCCUAGCC